RNAcentral lists this ribosomal RNA (439 nucleotides) under uncultured bacterium. Its description in RNAcentral is "partial 16S ribosomal RNA". It matches the Rfam family "Bacterial small subunit ribosomal RNA", at positions 339 to 795 of the family's 1533-position model. The record is from RNAcentral.
CUACGGGGCGCAGCAGUGAGGAAUAUUGCACAAUGGGGGGAACCCUGAUGCAGCAACGCCGCGUGGAGGAUGACGCAUUUCGGUGUGUAAACUCCUUUUAUAUGUCAAGAAAAUGACGGUAGCAUAUGAAUAAGCACCGGCUAACUCCGUGCCAGCAGCCGCGGUAAUACGGAGGGUGCAAGCGUUACUCGGAAUCACUGGGCGUAAAGGACGCGUAGGCGGGUUGAAAAGUCAGGUGUGAAAUCCUACAGCUUAACUGUCAAACUGCACUUGAAACUUCUAAUCUAGAGUAUGGGAGGGGGAGAUGGAAUUAGUGGUGUAGGGGUAAAAUACGUAGAUAUCACUAGGAAUACCUAAAGCGAAGGCGAUCUCCUGGAACAUUACUGACGCUAAGGCGUGAAAGCGUGGGGCGCAAACAGGAUUAGAUACCCCGGUAGUC